AGAGUUUGAUCCUGGCUCAGGAUGAACGCUGGCGGUAUGCUUAACACAUGCAAGUCGAACGAANUCUUUCGGGAUUUAGUGGCGGACGGGUGAGUAACGCGUGAGAAUCUGGCUUCAGGUUUGGGACAACCACUGGAAACGGUGGCUAAUACCGGAUGUGCCGCAAGGUGAAAGGCUUGCCGCCUGAAGAUGAGCUCGCGUCUGAUUAGCUAGUAGGUGGGGUAAAAGCCUACCUAGGCGACGAUCAGUAGCUGGUCUGAGAGGAUGAUCAGCCACACUGGGACUGAGACACGGCCCAGACUCCUACGGGAGGCAGCAGUGGGGAAUUUUCCGCAAUGGGCGAAAGCCUGACGGAGCAAUACCGCGUGAGGGAGGAAGGCUCUUGGGUUGUAAACCUCUUUUCUCAGGGAAGAAAAAAAUGACGGUACCUGAGGAAUAAGCAUCGGCUAACUCCGUGCCAGCAGCCGCGGUAAUACGGAGGAUGCAAGCGUUAUCCGGAAUGAUUGGGCGUAAAGCGUCCGCAGGUGGCUGUGUGUGUCUGCUGUUAAAGAGUCAUGCUUAACAUGAUAAAGGCAGUGGAAACUACACGGCUAGAGUGCGUUCGGGGCAGAGGGAAUUCCUGGUGCAGCGGUGAAAUGCGUAGAGAUCAGGAAGAACAUCGGUGGCGAAGGCGCUUUGCUGGACCAUAACUGACAUUCAGGGACGAAAGCUAGGGGAGCGAAUGGGAUUAGAUACCCCAGUAGU
RNAcentral lists this ribosomal RNA (744 nucleotides) under uncultured cyanobacterium. RNAcentral describes it as "bacterial SSU rRNA". It matches the Rfam family "Bacterial small subunit ribosomal RNA", at positions 8 to 794 of the family's 1533-position model. Lineage: Bacteria; Bacillati; Cyanobacteriota. The record is from RNAcentral.